This 430-nucleotide ribosomal RNA is filed under the name uncultured bacterium. RNAcentral describes it as "bacterial SSU rRNA". It matches the Rfam family "Bacterial small subunit ribosomal RNA", at positions 355 to 776 of the family's 1533-position model. The record is from RNAcentral.
UGGGGAAUUUUGCACAAUGGGCGCAAGCCUGAUGCAGCAACGCCGCGUGAGUGAAGAAGGCCCUUGGGUUGUAAAGCUCUUUCGGCUGGGAAGCAGGGACUGCCGGUAAAUAAUCUGCAGUUCUGACGGUACCAGAAGAAGAAGCGCCUGCUAACUACGUGCCAGCAGCAGCGGUAAUACGUAGGGCGCGAGCGUUGUUCGGAAUUACUGGGCGUAAAGCGCACGUAGGCGGGUUCGCAAGUCGGUUGUGAAAGCCCGAGGCUUAACUUCGGAAUUGCAGUCGAAACUGCGAAUCUUGAAUGCCUGAGAGGGUGGCGGAAUUCCUGGUGUAGAUGUGAAAUUCGUAGAUAUCAGGAGGAACACCGGAGGCGAAGGCGGCUGCCUGGUGGUGCAUUGACGCUGAGGUGCGAAAGCGCGGGGAGCAAACAGG